GACGAACGCUGGCGGCGUGCUUAACACAUGCAAGUCGAACGGAAAGGCCCUGCUUUUGUGGGGUGCUCGAGUGGCGAACGGGUGAGUAACACGUGAGUAACCUGCCCUUGACUUUGGGAUAACUUCAGGAAACUGGGGCUAAUAACGGAUAGGAGCUCCUGCUGCAUGGUGGGGGUUGGAAAGUUUCGGCGGUUGGGGAUGGACUCGCGGCUUAUCAGCUUGUUGGUGGGGUAGUGGCUUACCAAGGCGUUGACGGGUGGCCGGCCUGAGAGGGUGACCGGCCACAUUGGGACUGAGAUACGGCCCAGACUCCUACGGGAGGCAGCAGUGGGGAAUAUUGCACAAUGGGCGGAGGCCGGAUGCAGCAACGCCGCGUGCGGGAUGACGGCCUUCGGGUUGUAAACCGCUUUCGCCUGUGACGAAGCGUGAGUGACGGUAAUGGGUAAAGAAGCACCGGCUAACUACGUG
Molecule: ribosomal RNA, 468 nt
Filed under: uncultured bacterium
Lineage: Bacteria
Description: partial 16S ribosomal RNA
Rfam family: Bacterial small subunit ribosomal RNA
Source: RNAcentral